This 540-nucleotide long non-coding RNA is filed under the name Bemisia tabaci. RNAcentral's name for it is "lncRNA ENSSSA1NGG007187". Lineage: Eukaryota; Metazoa; Arthropoda; Insecta; Hemiptera; Aleyrodidae. The record is from RNAcentral.
AUGGGGCAGGGGGAGAAUUUAGUUGCCUUACAUGAGCCUAUUUUCCGAAAAAAGCCUAAAAAAACCAUAAAAUUGCGAUUAUUUCUCCAGGAGCUCCAACAACCUAUUUCAAAAUUGUGGUUUUUAGAAUCUGGUAGUGCUCCUCUUGACAUUCCAACUCAAAUUUUUAUGUCAGGACCAACUUCGAGCAAAACCGCUUUCAGGAGCACCGUGGGGGGUGGAAGGGACGUUUGGAUCACCCUGUAUGAUUUUUUUAUGAAGUUCAAAAGUGAGGGAGCUGUGGAAAUGGAGCCAUUUGUGGAACCACACGGAUGCUGUAAGUUGAGUGUGUGUCAUCAUUUUGUGGAACACUCGCCCGUUGCAGAACCCAGGUUCCAUACAACGAAAAAUAAGUCCUCAUAUAACUCAAUUAUUAAAGAAUGUUUUGGAACUCUAAUCAAGUGUGCCUACACUUUGCAAGCAAAGGAACAGAUUUUACUCAAUAUCAAGGGUGGAUUCCACUUCACCUUCUCUCUUCAGUUUCUGCAGCCUGAUUUUUGA